AACCCUUUUCCUUAUUUGCCAGCGAGUAAUGUCGGGAACUUUAAGGAUACUGCCAGUGACAAACUGGAGGAAGGCGGGGACGACGUCAAGUCAUCAUGGCCCUUACGGCCAGGGCUACACACGUGCUACAAUGGUCGGUACAAAGGGUUGCUACCUAGCGAUAGGAUGCUAAUCUCAAAAAGCCGAUCGUAGUCCGGAUUGGAGUCUGCAACUCGACUCCAUGAAGUCGGAAUCGCUAGUAAUCGCGGAUCAGAAUGCCGCGGUGAAUACGUUCCCGGGCCUUGUACACACCGCCCGUCACACCAUGGGAGUUUGUUGCACCAGAAGUAGCUAGCCUAACUGCAAAGAGGGCGGUUACCACGGUGUGGCCGAUGACUGGGGUGAAGUCGUAACAAGGU
RNAcentral lists this ribosomal RNA (398 nucleotides) under Acinetobacter sp. NB115. RNAcentral's name for it is "bacterial SSU rRNA". It matches the Rfam family "Bacterial small subunit ribosomal RNA", at positions 1100 to 1497 of the family's 1533-position model. Lineage: Bacteria; Pseudomonadati; Pseudomonadota; Gammaproteobacteria; Moraxellales; Moraxellaceae. The record is from RNAcentral.